This is a long non-coding RNA of Mauremys reevesii (Reeves's turtle), 433 nucleotides long. RefSeq lists it as uncharacterized. NCBI's taxonomy places the organism in Eukaryota, Metazoa, Chordata, Testudines, Geoemydidae. The transcript has 3 exons. The record is from RefSeq and is a predicted model, not a curated record.
AUGUCUGUAACAAUACAAACAACAAAAAAGAUUCCCCCAGGAGUUCAGAGUUAAAGAAACCUCUGCACCCACAUGGAUCCUCACUUCAGAAUCAAGUUAUAAGUUACCAGAUGGAGAAGAAGGCAGAGAGCAGGCCCCCUGCCAGAAGCCCUAGGACAGUGCAGAAAACUGACUGUGGACGCCGCAGCUGGAGAACCUCAGCUCCUGGAAGAGUGAAUCUGCCCACACAUCGCUGCAGAUGUGUUUCCUAUCUUAAAGCACUGUGUUGCUGCUAUAUACUGUUCAAGUUGGUUCUUCUCUUCUUGGAGUUGAAAAGAAGCGUCUAUGAUGUAAGCUAGAGAUACGAAAAGACCGAUCACUUAAGGAAAUGUAGGAGUUACAGCCUGAAUUGAUUGUUACCUGCAAAAUUCUAAUGUUAAGUAUAUUCAACCAU